AGUGUUCAGACUACCUGUUCAUCAGGCUGAAGCUGAACAGUAGUCUGCACAUUGGUU
RNAcentral lists this microRNA precursor (57 nucleotides) under Hucho hucho (huchen). RNAcentral describes it as "Danio rerio miR-199-3 stem-loop (ENSHHUG00000036572.1)". It matches the Rfam family "mir-199 microRNA precursor family", at positions 14 to 70 of the family's 80-position model. From Rfam's summary of the family: This family consists of the microRNA (miRNA) precursor mir-199 which appears to be specific to humans. Animal miRNAs are transcribed as ~70nt precursors and subsequently processed by the Dicer enzyme to give a ~22nt product. In this case the mature sequence comes from the 3' arm of the precursor. The record is from RNAcentral. Lineage: Eukaryota; Metazoa; Chordata; Actinopteri; Salmoniformes; Salmonidae.